GGCCACUAAAAUAACUAACAAAAUAAAAUAAAACAGGAAACUUAAACUUUAAAAUAUCUUCAGUAGACAGAAACAGCUGGACCACUUUAAUAACAUUUCUCUUUUCUCUGAAUCGUCACUGCCAUUAAAAGCAGAGCUAUUUAUAUCUGCAGAAAAGACUCUGGCUCCCACCUUGGGAGCUGCUGUCAGAUAUCUAGAUCGUAUGCUAAGGUUUGAUCCAUUCCAUAGUAGAAAGGUAAAGAGAUAGGAGAGUGAGGCUAGCUUUGGGCAUCCCCUAAGCCCUGAUGUGCCUACAACGACACUUUUAGACCUUUGUUGAUGUACAUUAAUUGUUUUUCCAGCUGGUGGAGCUAAGACAAUAGGCCUUUAGAAAGCAGAGCUAUUACCACUGCCUACCCAAAAGAGCACGAAGGUAAAUAACCCACACCUUCCUUCAAUGCUUCCUCUUCUAUAACAUGCGCAAGUAUUUGGAUCAAUGGUUUAAUAUUCUCUACUUGUGUUAUUUUUUUGUUGUGUUGAAAUUUUUUAAAAAAUGGAAAUAUUGUAGUACAUGAAUUGCAUUUUAAUUAUAAAUAUAUAUACUCCAGUGCUAUGAAGCAUGGACACGGACAUGCAAUACGGAUACGACACGAUAUGAAUACGGUGAUACAGUAAUUUUUAAAAAAUAAGGACACGAAUAUGGAAGGAUACGACAAUAAAAAAAUAUUUUAUAAUUUUUAUAUAUUUUUAUAUUAAAAUACUCAAAUGUAAAUGAAAAUAUUGAUAUUUUUGCUAUUUUUAAACUACUAUAAUUUGUUUUUGAUUUUCUUACCCUAUUAUAAUUAUAUAAUAUAUUAACUACUUUUGUUUCUUUCUUACGCAAACAGCCCUUUUUUUUUCCCAUUUACCCUUUUUUUCCCUCCUCAUCUACUACAGACAGCUUUACACUCAUAUACCCUUUAUUUUCUUCCCCAUUUACUCCUUUUUCUUCCCUCCUCAUUUACUACUUUUACCUUUGCCUUUGUAUUUCUUCUCUGCAAAACAUUCAUCUACAAAACUUUCAGCAUCAUCAUCUUCACUUCAUAUAAGCGAACAGACUCCAAAGAAGGCAAGUGUGUCAAAAAUCCCAUAAAUUAUCAUGAUUAAAUGUUAAAUUUAUGCUUUUUAUCUGUUUUCUAAAGUUCUAUUAUUGUAUAUGGGUUUUUUCCCCUUUCUGAUUCAGGCCAAAAGAAAGUCUGGUAGUGUGCCUUUUUUGACACGUGUCGAGGUGUGUCCAGUAUGUAUCUGGCUGUGUCGGCGGUGUGUCCGUGUCGGACACCAGUACGACACUGGUACGAGGGGAUUUUCCCCGUGUCGGUGCUUCAUAGAUCCGGUGGGAUGCUCCAAUGGGGUUGACGCAGGCAGGUUAGGUUUUCGGGCCGACACAUGUAGGAGAGAGGGUCAAGAGGUUUUAAAGGAGAAGAUGAAGAGAAGGAAAAUGAGGAAGAUAAGGAAGAAGAUGAUAAAGAAGUCUAAGUGCAGCGUGUUCUUAAGGAACAGGGGGAAAGUGGAUGCAAAGAUGUUACAGACAUUAGAUGAACAGUACGCCCUGUGAUUGCAGUGCAAAAGAAUCAAUGGAGUUUUGAGGGUAAUGGGGUUUUUUCUCUACUUCUCUUGCAAUGGCUAAGCUAUUUCUUUCUUUUUCUCUCUCUAUAUUUUAACAAUAUUCCAACACAAGCUUUUGAUGUUUUUGAAAAUUUCGAAACCAAUUUCAAAAGGAGUUGUUUGAAAAACAGGGAUCGACUUUUGAAAAAUGAAAACGAGAGUCGUCACUAAUCUUUUAAAGUGUGAUUGGAUCACUAUAUAAAACGUUUUGGUCUACGAAAUUGUGAGAAAACAGGUUCGGGAGUUAAUUACGUUCGAGGAAGGAUUAGCACCAUCGUAACGUUUAAAAUUGGCACCAAAUUGGAUAAAUAUUUAUCUCAAUGCCAAAAUUUUGAGAAUAUUAAAAAAAAUGCGAUAUUAAAAAAAAUGCGAUUUUCUUAUUUUCGUAAUAAUUCAAAUUAAGAGAAUCGAGAUUCAUUCGCUUUGAAGGAAUAAUAAAUAUCACAUUCAGCAUAAUUGGACACAAUACUUUUAAACUUUCGUCCCAUGAUUUAUAAAACCUGCUUAAAAAUGAUAUUUUAGAUAUUUAGAUAAAUGGAAAAUUGCAACUCAGCAUAUUAGGGUACUAUUUCUCAAAUUUCAAAACAUCUAAAACAUUGUCUCGUUCAUUUUCUAAAAGUUUUUUUUAAUGACUUUUGGUUUUGAAAGUAAUGAUAUGUUUCACAUAUUAUAAGAAAUUAAAUACAAUAUAUAUAUAUGCUUUAUCAUUUCAUGCAAAUAUAAUAAAGGUGACGAACAAGGAUUUAAAUUAUCUAAUAUGUUAUUAUUUCAUGCAUGGUCAUAAAUAGUAUCAUUACAUACACAAUACAACAUAGAAUAUAAUGAAUUCAAUAAUAUAAAUUGUAUAAUGC
This 2474-nucleotide long non-coding RNA is filed under the name Gossypium barbadense (sea-island cotton). RNAcentral describes it as "long non-coding RNA (GBAR_LNC013053)". The record is from RNAcentral. Lineage: Eukaryota; Viridiplantae; Streptophyta; Magnoliopsida; Malvales; Malvaceae.